RNAcentral lists this ribosomal RNA (352 nucleotides) under uncultured bacterium. RNAcentral describes it as "partial 16S ribosomal RNA". It matches the Rfam family "Bacterial small subunit ribosomal RNA", at positions 338 to 687 of the family's 1533-position model. The record is from RNAcentral.
CCUACGGGAGGCAGCAGUGAGGAAUAUUGGUCAAUGGGCGCGAGCCUGAACCAGCCAAGUAGCGUGAAGGAUGACUGCCCUACGGGUGGUAAACUUCUUUUAUACAGGAAUACAGUGAGGCACGUGUGCCUUUUUGUAUGUACUUUAUGAAUAAGGAUAGGCUAACUCCGUGCCAGCAGCCGCGGUAAUACGGAGGAUCCGAGGGUUAUCCGGAUUUGUUGGGAUUAAAGGGAGCGUAGAUGGGUUGGUAAGUCAGUUGUGAAAGUUUGCGGCUCAACCGUAAAAUUGCAAUUGAUACUGGCAGUCUUGAGGACAGUUGAGGUAAGUGGAAUUCGUGGUGUAGCGGUGAAAU